UGAUUAGAUUAAGAUAUAAGAUAUUUAGAUUGACUAUCACUGGGUGUUUUUUUAAAAUUUGAUUAUUUCUGGAUGUUUUAAUUUUUUCAAUUUGCUUAUUUAUGGUUUACUGUUUUUCUGCAAUGAAUGUCCAUUUCCUUUAUAAUAAUUUUAAAAACUGGGUAAUUAUGUGAAAAUAAAAGGAUAGAAGCAAAGGUAUUAAUAAGUUCUGAAUUCACUGGAAUUAAACUGUAGCUGAUCAUUAACAAAUAAAUCAUAAAGUGCCAGCAUUUGCCUUGAAUUAACUAGAUUUAGUUUUUCUGCCAUCAGCGGUAAUAAGGCCUAGAAUUAAAAGUGACUUGAGUUACAGUAAAGUUACAAUUCUGGCAUUACCUGUCUCUGAACUAUGAAAUCUGUACUUGUUAUGUGUUUAUAUGUGUGUCUAGCAAGUAUUUGGAAAGGUAUCCACUAAAUUUAAAAGUGGUCCUGUUCAGCAGGGUGGGAUUAGAGGAAGAUAAUUAAUUUUUUCUUGAUGCUACUCUGUAUCAUUUGACUAAUUAGAACAAGCAUGCAAAAAAUCUAAGUAUCUUUAACAAGCAUUAUUAUGAAUAUUUAGAAAUGUGAAGUCUAUCUAUGGUACGGUGAGAAAAAAAAUCAUAAUGCAAAAUAUACUAUAUCAUGUACCUACUGGUGGGAAAGGCCUGGGUGGGAAUACUCUAUCAUGAAAAUAGUUUUUCCAGUUCAUUUAUUAGUUCCUUUAUUCCACAAAUAUUUGUUGAGCACCAACUAAGCGCUAGGCUCUUGGGAGACAGCAAGGAAUCAAAUAGCCAAAUACGGCCCCCCUCAUGGAAUUUAUAUGGCAGUAGGGGCAGACGGACAAUAAGCAGUAAGCAUAAUAAAUAUGUCGGUUAAGUGAGUGCUAUGGAGAAACCGGAGCUGAUGAAGACAGACUGGCACUGCUGAGUGAAGAGGAGGGUUACAGGGGUUGAUCAGGGAAGGUCUCACUGAGCUGACAUUUGAGAAAACGUCUGAAAAGAGGUGAGGGUUGAGUCAGGCAAAUAUCUGGAAGAGCCUUCUAAGCAGAGGGAGCCACCAGUGCCAAGGUCCUGAAGUGGGCUCAAGGAAAACCAAUGAAGGCAGUGUGGCCGAGUCAGACUAAGCAGAGGGAGAGCAGGUCAGAGAGAAGCAGGGCAGCUACUAGGUGUUGGGCUCUGUAAGGAGUUUGGCUUUUCACUCCAAGUGAACAGGGAAACCAAUGCCAGGAUCCCUCCGGGUGUUGUAUGGAGAUUAGGCUUUUGGGGGAGGGGUUGUACAGCAGAGACCUGAUUGGGUGACAGAUGCAGGUUGCUGUGGGGAUGCUAAGGUGUUGGAUACUAGAUAUAGUUUGAAUGCACAGUCAACAAAAUUUCCCAGUUGGGUAGAGGAUGUGAGAGGAGUGUAUGAGGAUGAGUCUUAAGGUUUGGGCCUGAAUAAAUGAAGUGGAGUUGCUGUUAAUUCACAUGAGAAGGACAGCUGGAUGCAGUAGGUUUGAGUUGGAGAAAGAACUUAUUUGUGAACCUGUUAUGUUUGAGUGUAACAGCAAUAUAAGUUCUGUUUAAAGAAUGUUUCUAAUAUGACAUCUUUCCAAAUAAAUCAUUUCAAGACUCCUGA
Long non-coding RNA from Lontra canadensis (Northern American river otter), 1629 nucleotides. RefSeq lists it as uncharacterized. The transcript is spliced from 2 exons. Lineage: Eukaryota; Metazoa; Chordata; Mammalia; Carnivora; Mustelidae. The record is from RefSeq and is a predicted model, not a curated record.